UACGGAGGAUGCGAGCGUUAUCCGGAUUUAUUGGGUUUAAAGGGUGCGUAGGCGGGCAUUUAAGCCGGCGGUCAAAUGUCGGGGCUCAACCCCGGCGAGCCGUUGAAACUGUCGGACUUGAGUUGGCGAGAAGUACGCGGAAUGCGCGGUGUAGCGGUGAAAUGCAUAGAUAUCGCGCAGAACUCCGAUUGCGAAGGCAGCAUACCGGCGCCCGACUGACGCUGAAGCACGAAAGCGUGGGUAUCGAACAGG
RNAcentral lists this ribosomal RNA (252 nucleotides) under uncultured Bacteroidales bacterium. RNAcentral's name for it is "partial 16S ribosomal RNA". It matches the Rfam family "Bacterial small subunit ribosomal RNA", at positions 524 to 776 of the family's 1533-position model. The record is from RNAcentral. Lineage: Bacteria; Pseudomonadati; Bacteroidota; Bacteroidia; Bacteroidales.